AUCAUAUGCUAAAAAUUCCACCUUCAUUAACAAUCUACAGGUUUGCCCAUGAAGACCAAGCUUCUGAUAGGUAAGAAUGAAUCCCAGAGAAAAUAAUGAUUAUAAUGUCAUUAUCUGAUUCCUUGUCCCCCCCUCUUUUCUUGUCUAUGUUGUCAGGUGUUUCCGUAAGUAUAGCAGCAUUAGCUGUUGCAGCACUUGUGUUCCUUAUUAGAAGUAGACUCUUA
This 224-nucleotide unclassified non-coding RNA is filed under the name Hevea brasiliensis (rubber tree). Lineage: Eukaryota; Viridiplantae; Streptophyta; Magnoliopsida; Malpighiales; Euphorbiaceae. The record is from RNAcentral.